UUAAGCAUAUCAAUAAGCGGAGGAAGAGAAACUAACAAGGAUUCCCCCAGUAACGGCGAGCGAAGUGGGAAUAGCUCGAGCCUGUAAUCUCCGGCAGCUUCUGCCGGCGAAUUGUGGCCGGGAGAAGGUGGACUUGUCGCAUGUUGCGGUGCCAAAGUUGACCUGGAAGGGCACGUCGAAGAGGGUGAGAGCCCCGUACGUGGCCUCSCGAGGUGCGGCAGUGUCUGUCUUCUGAGAGUCGGGUUGUUUGGGAAUGCAGCCCAAAGAUGGUGGUAAACUCCACUUAAGGCUAAAUACUGGCACGAGACCGAUAGCAAACAAGUACCGUGAGGGAAAGGUGAAAAGCACUUUGAAAAGAGAGUCAAAGAGACCGCGAACCCGUUAGGAGGGAAACGAAUGCAGCCAUGAAGGCUCCGUUCAGGUUCAGGGCGUCUUGGUCGCGUGCGUUGGAAGUGGCGKACCCUUUUUGGGCCGUGCAAACUCSCGUGCUGCAAAGAUUCCUGCAAUCCCGUUCGGAGCCCGCCAACGGUGGCCAAUCCUGGGCGACGAGGGUCGUAGGGUAGGUGUCCUCCCAGGGCCCACUCGUGGGUUCGGAGAGGGACUUAUAGCCUUCGGCCCGGGGUACCGGGAGCGGCGGAGGAGAGUCUCGACGUUUCGCGCGCUGCAGCGUAGGCUCGGUAUAGGGUCCGGGUCGCUUCUAUUCUUGCGUGCUUCGCGUCGAGGCACUGCUUUGCAGUGUCCGGCGACGGUAAGUGCGCUCGUUCGGAAGGCGGGCCACGAUCUGCGCUGCGGUCGUUGGUGUGUGUAUGGCUCUAUCCGACCCGUCUU
This 828-nucleotide ribosomal RNA is filed under the name Stelligera montagui. Its description in RNAcentral is "eukaryotic LSU rRNA". It matches the Rfam family "Eukaryotic large subunit ribosomal RNA", at positions 34 to 655 of the family's 3401-position model. The record is from RNAcentral. Lineage: Eukaryota; Metazoa; Porifera; Demospongiae; Tethyida; Hemiasterellidae.